UACGUAGGGGGGCUAGCGUUGUCCGGAAUCAUUGGGCGUAAAGCGCGUGUAGGCGGUCCGGUAAGUCCGCUGUGAAAGUCGGGGGCUCAACCCUCGAAUGCCGGUGGAAACUGUCGGGCUAGAGUACGGAAGAGGCGAGUGGAAUUCCUGGUGUAGCGGUGAAAUGCGCAGAUAUCAGGAGGAACACCAAUUGCGAAGGCAGCUCGCUGGGACGUUACUGACGCUGAGGAGCGAAAGCAUGGGGAGCGAACAGG
Molecule: ribosomal RNA, 254 nt
Filed under: uncultured bacterium
Lineage: Bacteria
Description: partial 16S ribosomal RNA
Rfam family: Bacterial small subunit ribosomal RNA
Source: RNAcentral